UCUCUGCAUGGCUGAGCACAUUAUUGUACAGUCCCAGCCACUACAGUCAUGUCUGGUGUGACUUCAAAGACUCUCCUCUGAAACUGGGACAGAGCUCUCUGUUGCUGCUCCAGCCCUUUCCAUCUGCCUUUUUGUUCUCCAUCACAGCUGUGGCCUGUCCUCAUAUGUGAAAUAACAAAUUCAAUUUUGUCUUACUUGCUGUGAAGCCUUGAAGAAAUGACUCAGUCCAUGCAAACCACCAACUCUCCCACUUAUCCUCCUGUGAAAGAAAAUUUAUUUUAGUUGAACUGGGUGAUUACAGUCAAGGAGGAGAAACAUUUGCCUUUUUGAGCAGAGAAGUCAAAGAACCCUCAGUGAUGAGCAUUCUGCAGGCUUUACUUAGCUGAUGUCUGUAUGGAUGAACACAUGAGAAGGAAAGACCAGGAAGCUAAGCUCAGAGGACUUCUGGACCUAACACCAAUGGAACAGAGGGUUUCUUGUACCAUUCUGUGUUUCUACACAUUAACUCCAGACAGUGCUUCUGGUUGCACCUACAAAAUAUUUCAGCUCUGUGCUGGGUAGAGUGAAAUGAAGGUGUGCUGAAAUACGAAAGGAGUGAAAGUCACUAAAAAGAUUCGUGGGACAAAACUCAUGUACUGCUGACUCCAUUUUAGCUGUAAUCUUUUCACUCUUUCUCAGGAAUGGUGCAAUUAUGGUUUG
Long non-coding RNA from Chiroxiphia lanceolata (lance-tailed manakin), 699 nucleotides. RefSeq lists it as uncharacterized. The transcript has 3 exons. Lineage: Eukaryota; Metazoa; Chordata; Aves; Passeriformes; Pipridae. The record is from RefSeq and is a predicted model, not a curated record.